This 605-nucleotide ribosomal RNA is filed under the name uncultured bacterium. Its description in RNAcentral is "bacterial SSU rRNA". It matches the Rfam family "Bacterial small subunit ribosomal RNA", at positions 250 to 855 of the family's 1533-position model. The record is from RNAcentral.
UGGUAAGGUAAUGGCUUACCAAGGCGACGAUGGGUAGCCGGCCUGAGAGGGUGUACGGCCACACUGGGACUGAGACACGGCCCAGACUCCUACGGGAGGCAGCAGUAGGGAAUAUUGCGCAAUGGAGGGAACUCUGACGCAGCGACGCCGCGUGAGCGAUGAAGGUCUUCGGAUCGUAAAGCUCUGUCCUUGGGGAAGAAGGGUGCAUUAUAGCAUCUUGACGGUACCCGAGGAGGAAGCCCCGGCUAACUACGUGCCAGCAGCCGCGAUAAUACGUAGGGGGCAAGCGUUGUCCGGAAUUAUUGGGCGUAAAGGGUGCGUAGGCGGCCUUUUAAGUCAGGUGUGAAAGCCCACGGCUUAACCGUGGGAUUGCAUUUGAAACUGGAAGGCUUGAGUAUCGGAGAGGGUAGUGGAAUUCCCAGUGUAGCGGUGAAAUGCGUAGAUAUUGGGAGGAACACCAGUGGCGAAGGCGACUACCUGGACGAAAACUGACGCUGAUGCACGAAAGCUAGGGGAGCAAACAGGAUUAGAUACCCUGGUAGUCCUAGCUGUAAACGAUGGGUACUAGGUGUAGGAGGUUUCGAUACCUUCUGUGCCGGAGUUAA